RNAcentral lists this ribosomal RNA (253 nucleotides) under uncultured bacterium. RNAcentral describes it as "partial 16S ribosomal RNA". It matches the Rfam family "Bacterial small subunit ribosomal RNA", at positions 524 to 776 of the family's 1533-position model. The record is from RNAcentral.
UACGGAGGGUGCAAGCGUUAAUCGGAAUUACUGGGCGUAAAGCGCACGUAGGUGGUUUGUUAAGCUAGCUGUGAAAUCCCCGGGCUCAACCUGGGCACUGCAGUUAGAACUGGCAAGCUAGAGUAGGGUAGAGGGGUGUGGAAUUCCAGGUGUAGCGGUGAAAUGCGUAGAUAUCUGGAGGAACAUCAGUGGCGAAGGCGGCUCUCUGGAACGGUACUGACGCUGAGACGCGAAAGCGUGGGGAGCGAACAGG